UACGUAGGGUGCAAGCGUUAUCCGGAAUGAUUGGGCGUAAAGCGUCUGUAGGUGGUUUGACAAGUCUUUUGUCAAAGAUCAGGCUUAACCCUGGGCCGGCAAGAGAAACUAUCAGACUAGAGUUCGGUAGGGGCAGAGGGAAUUCCCGGUGGAGCGGUGAAAUGCGUAGAGAUCGGGAGGAACACCGGUGGCGAAGGCGGGUCUCUGGGCCGAUACUGACGCUGAGGAGCGAAAGCGUGGGGAGCGAACAGG
Molecule: ribosomal RNA, 252 nt
Filed under: uncultured bacterium
Lineage: Bacteria
Description: partial 16S ribosomal RNA
Rfam family: Bacterial small subunit ribosomal RNA
Source: RNAcentral